CAGUAGCCGCGGGAAAACGGAGGGGGCUAGCGUUGUUCGGAAUUACUGGGCGUAAAGCGCACGUAGGCGGCUUGGUAAGUUAGAGGUGAAAGCCCGGAGCUCAACUCCGGAAUUGCCUUUAAGACUGCCGAGCUAGUAGGUGAGAGAGGUAAGUGGAAUUCCGAGUGUAGAGGUGAAAUUCGUAGAUAUUCGGAAGAACACCAGUGGCGAAGGCGGCUUACUGGAUCAUUCUAGACGCUGAGGUGCGAAAGCGUGGGGAGCAAACAGGAUUAGAUACCCCGGUAGUCCCUGUCUCUUAUAC
This 301-nucleotide ribosomal RNA is filed under the name uncultured bacterium. RNAcentral's name for it is "partial 16S ribosomal RNA". It matches the Rfam family "Bacterial small subunit ribosomal RNA", at positions 509 to 807 of the family's 1533-position model. The record is from RNAcentral.